RNAcentral lists this transfer RNA (90 nucleotides) under Herbaspirillum sp. RNAcentral's name for it is "tRNA-Ser". It matches the Rfam family "tRNA". Rfam says of the family: Transfer RNA (tRNA) molecules are approximately 80 nucleotides in length. Their secondary structure includes four short double-helical elements and three loops (D, anti-codon, and T loops). RNAcentral also lists the same sequence under 2 other names. Lineage: Bacteria; Pseudomonadati; Pseudomonadota; Betaproteobacteria; Burkholderiales; Oxalobacteraceae. The record is from RNAcentral.
GGAGAGGUGGCAGAGUGGUCGAAUGCGCCAGACUCGAAAUCUGGUUUAGGUGAAUGCCUAACGUGGGUUCGAAUCCCACCUUCUCCGCCA